Molecule: small nuclear RNA, 172 nt
Organism: Euleptes europaea (tarantolino)
Lineage: Eukaryota; Metazoa; Chordata; Lepidosauria; Squamata; Sphaerodactylidae
Product: U1 spliceosomal RNA
Exons: 1
Source: RefSeq, a predicted model, not a curated record
AAAAGCACCUCGGAGGGAAGAUACCAUGAUCACGAAGAUGGCUUUCCCAGGGUGAGGCUCAUCCACUUCCCUUUGGGUGUCCUUCAGACCCCUGCGAUUUCCCCAAAUGCAGGGAAACUUGACUGCAUAAUUUGUGGGAGUGUGAGGACUGCAUUAAUAAUGCAGACUUUUG